RNAcentral lists this ribosomal RNA (167 nucleotides) under Etheostoma nigrum (Johnny darter). Its description in RNAcentral is "partial 12S rRNA". Lineage: Eukaryota; Metazoa; Chordata; Actinopteri; Perciformes; Percidae. The record is from RNAcentral.
CACCGCGGUUAUACGAGAGGCCCAAGUUGAUAGACACCGGCGUAAAGCGUGGUUAAGAUUUGUACAAAAUAAAGCCGAACACCUUCAGGGCUGUUAUACGCACCCGAAGGCAAGAAGAUCAACUACGAAAGUGGCUUUACAAUCCUGAACCCACGAAAGCUACGACA